Long non-coding RNA from Orbicella faveolata, 609 nucleotides. The record is from RefSeq and is a predicted model, not a curated record. NCBI's taxonomy places the organism in Eukaryota, Metazoa, Cnidaria, Anthozoa, Scleractinia, Merulinidae.
UUACAGCAGUGGUUGGCAGGGAUCUCUGUAAACAAACUGUGCCAGUGGGAGAAGGAAUUAGCUUUAUGACAAGAUCAUGUGUUUACAAUGGUUGCUUCGGUUGCUACUCAACCCACGUCAGCGACGAACUGGAUCAAGACUGUAGGGAUUAUUACAAGAACGUUAACAACGUGUGGCAAAGUUAUAAGUGUUGUAUUUACACACCUGAUCAAUGCCCAAAGGUAAAAGGCCCACAUUAUCGUGACAACCCACUCAAACGCUACUUGGACACUGCAAGCCGUCAACAGCAAUACGAAGACUAGGGUCAGCGGUUCUCGCAUUUGUUCAUCACGCGAUGUCAUUUAUUGAAAACACAUGAAAACUCAGUCACACAAUUUAUAGCACUUGUGAAACUCGAAACUGUAAAGGCUUGAAAUGAAGUUACCAAAAAUCACAUUUAAAAAAAAAAAAAUUCUUUGGUAACUUAUUAUUUUCCAAUGAAUAGGUUCGAUCCUGGUUUUUAUCCUUCAUGAAUCAUUUCACAGGGUUUGUACUAUGUUAAUGCAAUGAGACACUGUUUUGAGCUAAACACAGGAAAUAAAAUAAAACUGUAAUGUGCUUGAUGUCUAA